CUGGUGCGGGGGAGACGGGAACCCGCCUGCCUUGGAAGCAGGAGACACCGCGUUCGACUCGCGGGCACCAGAC
RNAcentral lists this transfer RNA (73 nucleotides) under Actinocatenispora rupis. RNAcentral describes it as "tRNA-Pro". It matches the Rfam family "tRNA". Rfam says of the family: Transfer RNA (tRNA) molecules are approximately 80 nucleotides in length. Lineage: Bacteria; Bacillati; Actinomycetota; Actinomycetes; Micromonosporales; Micromonosporaceae. The record is from RNAcentral.